RNAcentral lists this ribosomal RNA (494 nucleotides) under uncultured bacterium. RNAcentral's name for it is "partial 16S ribosomal RNA". It matches the Rfam family "Bacterial small subunit ribosomal RNA", at positions 28 to 507 of the family's 1533-position model. The record is from RNAcentral.
GACGAACGCUGGCGGCGUGCUUAACACAUGCAAGUCGAACGGAAAGGCCUGCUUUCCCUUGUGGAUUGCGGGUACUCGAGUGGCGAACGGGUGAGUAACACGUGAGUGAUCUGCCCCCAACUUGGGUACAAGCCUGGGAAACUGGGUCUAAUUCCCGAUAGGACUGCAGGGUGGUGCCUGUGGUGGAAAACGAUUUUCUAGUGGUUGGGGAUGAGCUCGCGGCCUAUCAGCUUGUUGGUGGGGUAAUGGCCUACCAAGGCGGCGACGGGUAGCCGGCCUGAGAGGGUGGACGGCCACAUUGGGACUGAGAUACGGCCCAGACUCCUACGGGAGGCAGCAGUGGGGAAUAUUGCACAAUGGGCGGAAGCCUGAUGCAGCGACGCCGCGUGGGGGAUGACGGCCUUCGGGUUGUAAACUCCUUUCGACCGCGAGGAAGCCACCUGGUUGGAAGGGUGGUGACGGUAGUGGUAGAAGAAGCACCGGCUAACUACGUG